CCACCCCAUGAGCCAGGCCUGAUGUUGGUGUCUACAGGCGAGUAUUGGGGUGACCGGGUCAUACAUCUAUCCUGAAAUGGUGAAAAUAUUUCUCUUUCUGAUCAUCUCUGUAUGAACAAACCCCCAUUGUUGUCAAAUUGCAUAAAAAUAACUUUUGUCAUGAACGUGCGAAUAUGCUUCAUGAGUCACACCUAGUUACACCUACCACACCUUAUAAAAGCAGUUUCCCUUGUGAAUAAAUUAUCUUCCAGAGAGACAGAGCCGGCUGUCAUUAAGGAUAUUGCUGAGAGAGAGAUUAUUGUUUGAGAUCAGAUGGUUAUGACGUUGAAGAAUAAAAUAAGGUUUGCCUUUUUAAAAAAUAAUGGCACCAGUAACACUACUGCCUUCACAAUAUUAUGGCUAUGGCUGCUGCUUAGUGGGAUUGGAGGCCAAAGUACAACACCAUUUACAACAGAAACCACAGAAGGGACAACUGAAUUCAC
Molecule: long non-coding RNA, 482 nt
Organism: Ictalurus furcatus (blue catfish)
Lineage: Eukaryota; Metazoa; Chordata; Actinopteri; Siluriformes; Ictaluridae
Exons: 3
Source: RefSeq, a predicted model, not a curated record